Molecule: transfer RNA, 60 nt
Filed under: Podarcis lilfordi (Lilford's wall lizard)
Lineage: Eukaryota; Metazoa; Chordata; Lepidosauria; Squamata; Lacertidae
Description: tRNA.Undet
Source: RNAcentral
GGAUAGCUCAGUUGGUAGAGCAUGAUUUCAGGGUUGUGGGUUCAAGCCCCACGUUGGGCA